RNAcentral lists this long non-coding RNA (187 nucleotides) under Neogale vison (American mink). RNAcentral describes it as "Neovison vison (American mink) lncRNA (ENSNVIG00000008826.1)". The record is from RNAcentral. Lineage: Eukaryota; Metazoa; Chordata; Mammalia; Carnivora; Mustelidae.
CUGCAGUUGGCAGGCUGCUGCGGGAGGCGGUGGCGGUGAGAAGCCGGAGGCAGCGGGGUGACAGCGCUGGAAAAUAUUUAAGUCUCAACAAAUGAAUUCCACACUUGAAUUCUGCCGCAUUCCUGUGCCACCUCCUCCUUUAGAAAACUGAUCUUAGAACAGAGGUAAAAUUAUGGAAUUUAACUUU